This is a long non-coding RNA of Epinephelus lanceolatus (giant grouper), 995 nucleotides long. RefSeq lists it as uncharacterized. The record is from RefSeq and is a predicted model, not a curated record. Lineage: Eukaryota; Metazoa; Chordata; Actinopteri; Perciformes; Serranidae.
GAGCACUGAGCCCACUGCUUUCAGUCGCCUCAAUCAUCCCCCCAUGCCCUUGAGUCUGUUUCCACAAUAGUCUGUCUCUCCUUCACUCGUUCGCGGUGAACUUUAACUCUGUCACAGUGACCCUGUUUCAACACAUCUGAGGUGUGUUUUGCUGAUCGGCCUCCAUGGAUACGCCCAACACAAAAGAAAAAGGGCAGUAUAGCUGUCUGAUUGUAAUAUUCAGGUGGAUGAUGAUGAAGAGGAGGAGGAUCUAUGCAUACCGACAGAGAGAGCAUCAGUGUGGAGACAGAGAGGGAAGACACGUCAGCCCCUUCAGCCAAAUACAAGGAGAUGGUGGUGGAUUUCAGGAGGAAGAGGUCACCCCAUCAACCAGUCUCACACACUGGGAGGAUGUUGAGAUGGUGCACACCUAAAUAUCUAAGGGGUCUUCUUAGAUGGGAAGCUGGACUGGUCCUCUAACACUGACACCUUCUACAGGAGGAGGCAGAGCCGCCUGUUCUUCCUGCGGACACUGAGGUCUUUAGAUGCAUGUGUGUGGAGAUGUUGACCGAGUUGACCACCUGACAGACAAAAACACCAAGUGUUUGGACAAGCUGGUUAAAAAAGCUGACUCAGUGCUCAGCAGGAGACACUAAGAGCUGUGGUGGAGAGGGGCACACUGAACAAAGCCUGGAGCGACAGAGGAGCAGCUGCAGCAGUCGGCUCAUCUCACUGCAUUGCAGAACGGAGCGUUUCAGGAGGUCCUUCGUCCCCACGGCAGUAAGACUGUUUAAUACCUCUUGAAUCCAGUCACACACACUCACACACAUCACCUCAGCCACAACUGGACUGGACUGUGGAAUGGGCAAUUUUAUUUUGAUUUAAUUUCUACUUAUGCACUUAUUUUAUUGUAUGUCUAUUUUAAUACUACUGCGUUGUUGUUGAUGAGGGGAAGUGUGGUUGUUUUUGGACAGCUGAAUUUCCCUUCUGAGAUAAAUAAAGUUCUAUCUAAUCUA